RNAcentral lists this transfer RNA (58 nucleotides) under Trichuris sp. 2 ARS-2017. RNAcentral's name for it is "tRNA-Cys". Lineage: Eukaryota; Metazoa; Nematoda; Enoplea; Trichinellida; Trichuridae. The record is from RNAcentral.
AAGGAAGCCAAGUAUAUCAAUGGUACAUAAAAUUGCAAGUUUUAAGGGUUUUGGACUU